UUGACAGCCCAGGAGACUGAAAUCCUGUUUAUCCACAGAUCAGGAACAGUACAGAGCAGUGUAAGCCUCUCCACACAACUUUGCCAGUGUGCCUUCAACCCUGGCCUCAUAGGACCACCUAUAAAAGUAAGAAGAUAAUUCGGUGUCUGGGCUCAUUUAGUUUCUUUGCUGCC
This 173-nucleotide small RNA is filed under the name Chelonoidis abingdonii (Abingdon island giant tortoise). RNAcentral's name for it is "TUC338 (ENSCABG00000003508.1)". The record is from RNAcentral. Lineage: Eukaryota; Metazoa; Chordata; Testudines; Testudinidae.